This 1227-nucleotide long non-coding RNA is filed under the name Anas zonorhyncha (Eastern spot-billed duck). RNAcentral describes it as "lncRNA (ENSAZOG00000009292.1)". Lineage: Eukaryota; Metazoa; Chordata; Aves; Anseriformes; Anatidae. The record is from RNAcentral.
CUGGGGGCUGUGACUGAUGGACACGGGCUGGUCAGGAGGAGCACGAACUCCCCGUGCAGGAACAUCCCUGUGAGGGGCUCACCCCCGUGCAGGAACAUCCCUGUGAGGGGCUCGCUCCUCCGUGGGACACACGGUGCUGGGGGGAGCUGGCGGGCUGGGACUGGAGCAGAGGACAGGGAGGUGUCCUGCUGGAGCAUCUCAGGUGCCCCAGUGAUAAGGACAUGGAUGAAACGUUCCUGAGACAACUGGGAGAAGGUUUGGUGUCCUCAGGGGCAAUGCUGGUCCUCACAGGGGCCUCGAACCUCCCUGAGAGCUGCUAGAAGAGCAGCACAGCAGGGCUCCAGCAGCGGUGGUUCCUUGGGAAGAACUGAGAGGGGCUGCACCAGCUGGGGCUGCCGUGAACCAGGGGAGGGCAGCACCCAGAGGGGGGAGGAAAGCUGACAGCAAGGCACAGCCCUGGGCUUCAGCCUGGUUAAUGAGCCGGUAGGUGGGCUCUGGUGGGAGGGGGCAUAAGGGUGAAGGAGGUAAGGAAAGCUGAAAAGCCUUUCAGGAGAAGCUGAAGUGUGAUCACUGGAUGGCUGAGGUGGGAAGGGGCCUCUGGAGCUCAUCUGCUCCAAACGCCUGUGCAGAACAAAGUCAGCCAGAGCAGGUUGCUCAGGGCCAUGCCCAUCAGGGCUUUGAAAUGUGAAAUUCCAUCGGGACAUAAGAAAACAAGAACUAGAAAACUGUACCGGGGGGAAGGGGGGGGGAAGAGAGAGAGGAAGAGAAAAAGAGAAGAAGAGAAAAAGAGAGGAAGAGAGAAAGAAAACUGUACUGGAUGAGGUUUCCCAGAGAUGUUGUGGUGUCUCAGCCCCUGAAGAUGUUCCAAUCCAGCCCAAACUCAGUCCUGGUCAGGCUGCUUCAGCCGGCCCCGUCUCCAGAUGAUCUCCAGCAAUCAUCCAGAGAUGAUGAGGCCCAGGUGAUCUCCAGUGAUCCGUAUCAGAAUCACCAACUAUCUCCCCUAUGAGGUAGGCUCACAGAAUAUCUGAAGUUGGAAGGGACCCACGAGGAUCAUCAAAUCCAACUCCUGGCUCCAGGACCACCCAAUAUCCAGAGCUUACAUCUGAGAGCGUUCUCCGAAUGCUCUGUGACCUCCAGCAGCCCGGUGCCAUGUCCACGUCCCUGAGGAGCCUGUCCCAGUGCCCGACCACCCCUGGGUGCAGACCCUUUCCCUAACCCCCAUCCUGA